RNAcentral lists this unclassified non-coding RNA (608 nucleotides) under Hevea brasiliensis (rubber tree). The record is from RNAcentral. Lineage: Eukaryota; Viridiplantae; Streptophyta; Magnoliopsida; Malpighiales; Euphorbiaceae.
CGGAUACUGAUACACUUAAACGGCGUAUAGCAUUGGCGGCUGUGGAGAAAAUGUUUUUGAGUGAAUUAAGUGAUAAUUUCUUUGCAAUCAUCAUUCCAACGGAGUAUGAUAUACUUAUGGCCAGUACACGAAAGACAGAAAUUGUCGGAGUGUUAGUUGAAGCUACAAAGAGUUCAUCUGACUAUGAACUUGAGGUGGUUUUCUCCAAUAGUUUCGAGUAUCAUGCAGCUGCUGAAUUGGUGAAGGAAGUUCAAUUUGAGGAAGUCGAAGGUGGUGUUAAAACUAGAAUUGUGAGGAAGUGAGUUGCAGCUAGUACAUGCCUUCAUACGUUUGUAGACUAUGCAGGGGAGCGGCAUCUUUCAUUGUAAAGACACAGGAUCAUUAAGAUUCAUUGCAUUGUGUGUGAGGGUACUCAGCAUCAAGGCCAAUCCCAAUGAAAAUUUAGCUUUGUUGUUCCUUUAGUGUUUCGUUUUUUGGUGGGCGUAAUUCUUUAUAGUAAAAGAAUGAUGAUUUUUCAAUACGAAACCAACUCCACACGAAUGUGUGAAAUGAGACUCUAUGGAUGUUCACAAAUAAUAUAAAAGAUGUUUUGUAUGCUGAUUCUUUGG